CUCUUUCAGUUGAGAGAAAAAGUCGUGACUAAUAAUCAUGAUUCAUGACGGUAUCAACAGAGAAGCACCGGCUAACUACGUGCCAGCAGCCGCGGUAAUACGUAGGGUGCAAGCGUUAAUCGGAAUUACUGGGCGUAAAGGGUGCGCAGGCGGUUCUGUAAGUCAGAUGUGAAAUCCCCGGGCUUAACCUGGGAACUGCGUUUGAAACUGCAGAGCUAGAGUGCAGCAGAGGGAGGUGGAAUUCCAUGUGUAGCAGUGAAAUGCGUAGAGAUAUGGAAGAACAUCGAUGGCGAAGGCAACCUCCUGGGCUAGCACUGACGCUCAUGCACGAAAGCGUGGGGAGCAAACAGGAUUAGAUACCCUGGUAGUCCACGCCCUAAACUAUGUCAACUAGUUGUCGGGUCUUAUUAGACUUGGUAACGUAGCUAACGCGUGAAGUUGACCGCCUGGGGAGUACGGUCGCAAGAUUAAAACUCAAAGGAAUUGACGGGG
RNAcentral lists this ribosomal RNA (492 nucleotides) under uncultured bacterium. RNAcentral describes it as "bacterial SSU rRNA". It matches the Rfam family "Bacterial small subunit ribosomal RNA", at positions 431 to 918 of the family's 1533-position model. The record is from RNAcentral.